CUCCCCAAAACCCAAUGUGAACGUUACCAAACUGUUGCCUCGGCGGGGUCACGCCCCGGGUGCGUYGCAGCCCCGGAACCAGGCGCCCGCCGGAGGAACCAACCAAACUCUUUCUGUAGUCCCCUCGCGGACGUAUUUCUUUACAGCUCUGAGCAAAAAUUCAAAAUGAAUCAAAACUUUCAACAACGGAUCUCUUGGUUCUGGCAUCGAUGAAGAACGCAGCGAAAUGCGAUAAGUAAUGUGAAUUGCAGAAUUCAGUGAAUCAUCGAAUCUUUGAACGCACAUUGCGCCCGCCAGUAUUCUGGCGGGCAUGCCUGUCCGAGCGUCAUUUCAACCCUCGAACCCCUCCGGGGGAUCGGCGUUGGGGAUCGGGACCCCUCACACGGGUGCCGGCCCCUAAAUACAGUGGCGGUCUCGCCGCAGCCUCUCCUGCGCAGUAGUUUGCACAACUCGCACCGGGAGCGCGGCGCGUCCACGUCCGUAAAACACCCAACUUUCUGAAAUGUUGACCUCGGAUCAGGUAGGAAUACCCGCUGAACUUAAGCAUAUCAAUAAGCGGARGAA
RNAcentral lists this ribosomal RNA (564 nucleotides) under Trichoderma sp. PPRI 14683. Its description in RNAcentral is "eukaryotic LSU rRNA". The record is from RNAcentral. Lineage: Eukaryota; Fungi; Ascomycota; Sordariomycetes; Hypocreales; Hypocreaceae.